GACGAACGCUGGCGGCGUGCUUAACACAUGCAAGUCGAGCGGUAAGGCCCUUUCGGGGGUACACGAGCGGCGAACGGGUGAGUAACACGUGGGUGACCUGCCCUCAGCUCUGGGAUAAGCCUGGGAAACUGGGUCUAAUACUGGAUAUGACUCCACGAUGCAUGUCGUGGGGUGGAAAGCCUUGUGCGGCUGAGGAUGGGCCCGCGGCCUAUCAGCUUGUUGGUGGGGUGAUGGCCUACCAAGGCGACGACGGGUAGCCGGCCUGAGAGGGCGACCGGCCACACUGGGACUGAGACACGGCCCAGACUCCUACGGGAGGCAGCAGUGGGGAAUCUUGCGCAAUGGGCGAAAGCCUGACGCAGCGACGCCGCGUGAGGGAUGACGGCCU
RNAcentral lists this ribosomal RNA (388 nucleotides) under uncultured bacterium. RNAcentral describes it as "bacterial SSU rRNA". It matches the Rfam family "Bacterial small subunit ribosomal RNA", at positions 28 to 417 of the family's 1533-position model. The record is from RNAcentral.